GCGCCCGUAGCUCAAAAGGAUAGAGCGUUGGCCUCCGGAGCCAGAGGCUGUGCGUUCGACUCGCACCGGGCGCA
This 74-nucleotide transfer RNA is filed under the name Deltaproteobacteria bacterium. RNAcentral's name for it is "tRNA-Arg". It matches the Rfam family "tRNA". From Rfam's summary of the family: Transfer RNA (tRNA) molecules are approximately 80 nucleotides in length. Lineage: Bacteria; Pseudomonadati; Myxococcota; Myxococcia. RNAcentral also lists the same sequence under 1 other name. The record is from RNAcentral.